GCUCGGAAGAUUUGUUAUUCAAGGUCUCUUCAUGUGGAAGAAAAAGAUUUUAUUGUUUCGUAUUGCCUAUUUGCAAAUCUACAGUAUGAAGUGAUAGGAGAGACAAAGAUGGAGGACAACUCGGACGCGGAGAUAAAGAUCUUGGUGGAGGAUGAGUCGACAGCUUCUAAUUAUGUAAAUAAGAAAAGAGGAGAAAACAGGCGUGAGAAAUGUUCAGUGGUGGAGGACAUCUUUUUUGGCUCAAUGCGGGUAGAGGAACGAGAAGAAUCCUCUGGAUUUUCCUCUCCUUAUAGUCUCAUCCGCUGAUGAUAUACAUGAAUUGGAUUUGAAGAAUGCUUGGAAGCCUGGUAAGAUUUGUAAUGCAAGGUAUCUUCAAAAGGAAGAAAAAGAUUCGUGGUUCCUAUUUGCAAAUCUGCACUUUGAAGAGAUUGGACAAACAAAGAUGGAUGAGGACUCGGAUGCUGAGAUAAAGACCUUGGUGUAGGAAGAUUUGUCGAUAGCUUGUAACUAACUGAGUGGCAGGUAACAAAUGUCACAAUAGCUCUAUUAAAGUGAUUGUGUGAUAGUAUUUCUUUGAACGAGAACACAGCUUCCUGUUUUGCCCGUCAACGACGACAAAGUUCCAAGUCUGGCAGUGAGUUCUUCGGACCCGGAUGUGUUUACCUGUCAACAUCCGAUGGCAUUUUUGAUUUUAAGUGUUUCUAGAACAAUCUUAAGAAGUGCAAGUUUCUUUAUUUGAGUUAUCUUCCAGUCUACAUAAAGAAGAUUCAGAUGAUUUGUGCUAGUUAAAGAGAAAAUCGAGGAGGUGAGGAUCUUGGAGGAGUCGACGGGUUCAAACUAGAAUUGUUAGUUUUGAGUGGAUACCUUUGAUAGUAUUGUUUUCUUUUGGAUGAAAUA
This is a long non-coding RNA of Alnus glutinosa, 897 nucleotides long. RefSeq lists it as uncharacterized. NCBI's taxonomy places the organism in Eukaryota, Viridiplantae, Streptophyta, Magnoliopsida, Fagales, Betulaceae. The record is from RefSeq and is a predicted model, not a curated record. The transcript has 3 exons.